RNAcentral lists this ribosomal RNA (320 nucleotides) under Cercomonas sp. RNAcentral describes it as "SSU rRNA". The stretch from base 101 to 320 matches the Rfam family "Eukaryotic small subunit ribosomal RNA", at positions 734 to 955 of the family's 1831-position model. Lineage: Eukaryota; Cercozoa; Cercomonadida; Cercomonadidae. The record is from RNAcentral.
GAUUUCUGGCUUGGCGCGCGCGGUCCGCUACGGUUUCGUGGUGUGUACCGUUGUGCGCCUGCCAUCCUCUGAGGCAUAGGCGCUGCUCUUCACUGGGUAGUGUCUGUAUCUCAAUCUUUUACUUUGAAAAAAUUAGAGUGUUCAAAGCAGGCUCGCGCUCUGAAUACAUUAGCAUGGAAUAAUAAUCUAGGACUUCUGUUCUAUUUUGUUGGUUUCUAGGAUGGAAGUAAUGAUUGAUAGGGAUAGUUGGGGGUGCUAGUAUUCAGCGGCCAGAGGUGAAAUUCUUGGAUUCGCUGAAGACUAACUUAUGCGAAAGCAUU